UACGUAGGGGGCUAGCGUUGUCCGGAUUUAUUGGGCGUAAAGAGCGUGUAGGCGGCCAGGUAGGUCUGCUGUGAAAACUCGAGGCUCAACCUCGAGAGGUCGGCGGAAACCAUCUGGCUAGAGUCCGGAAGAGGAGAGUGGAAUUCCUGGUGUAGCGGUGAAAUGCGCAGAUAUCAGGAAGAACACCCGUGGCGAAGGCGGCUCUCUGGGACGGUACUGACGCUGAGACGCGAAAGCGUGGGGAGCGAACAGG
This 253-nucleotide ribosomal RNA is filed under the name uncultured bacterium. RNAcentral's name for it is "partial 16S ribosomal RNA". It matches the Rfam family "Bacterial small subunit ribosomal RNA", at positions 524 to 776 of the family's 1533-position model. The record is from RNAcentral.